Molecule: microRNA precursor, 93 nt
Filed under: Canis lupus familiaris (dog)
Lineage: Eukaryota; Metazoa; Chordata; Mammalia; Carnivora; Canidae
Also listed under: 1 other name
Description: mir-8799 microRNA precursor family
Rfam family: mir-8799 microRNA precursor family
Source: Rfam by way of RNAcentral
CGGGGGAAGUCGGAUCCUUGGCUGUGUCCCCAGCGCCGUGUGCUCCCAGGCCUGCGCUGUUGGAUCUGCCCCAUCCCCUCCGAGCUGCUCCCG